UUUUUUACCCUUGUUCUUUCUGUUUCAAUUUUAUUGCUGAAAGUAAUUUGUUGCUGAAAGUUAAAUGUGUUGUUACUGAUUAUCAUGAACCUUGAAUUUGUUGUUGGCUUUCCAAAAUAAUCACUUAAGUUUGCAGUUGCAUUUUUCUUCUACUAUAUCGAAUAAGAUUACAAAAACUGUUCCCAUUCAUGUAGAAUGAAGUCACUUAGUGUUUGUUCUCUCGCUAAGUGUAUAGUUUUCCUAUUGAUACAUAGAUAGUUAUACUUUUUCUUUUCUAUUUUUUUCAUUAUUCCCUAUGUUUAUCUAUGAGCUUCUUGUGUCAUGAAAAUUGAUUUGAGAUAUUUUAUUUUGUGUGAUAUCUGAUUUGUUUAUAUCUCAUGAAAGAGUCAAGUUUUAUCAAACACUAUAUUCUAUAAUCUCAUUGUUCAUGCUGUCAUAUAUAACUUUUUUUCCCUUUGUUAGGUCUCAGAGAUAAGAAUUGUGUGCCAUGCAAUUUGAAGGAACUGCGACCGAUGACCGAGGAUGCAGCACACACUUUGAUUCCACAGGUUUCUGAGUGAAAUUCGGUAAAAGAAGAUGGCAUAUUUAAACUGAAGAGGACAUGGAAAGUAAAGACUUUCACCAAAGGCUUGAAAUUCUUCAAGAUAGUAGCUGACCUUGCUGAAAGUGAAGGCAAUUACUUUGUGCCCUAAUGUUCCUGUGUAUUGUGCAAACCGUGCUCUCUGCCAUCUUAAGCGCCAGUAAGUAUAGUAUGAUAACAUAUCUUCUUGAUUUUUAAUUUAAUUUUAUUUUUGACUUCUGUUUGGGUAUUUACUCUUUAGAGAUUUCGAAGUCUUUAGCUUCAAUGGUCGUGUUGUAUUGGUUAAGUAUAUUCGAUUUUCUUCUAAGUAGAAAAUUGGUUAAAUUGAAUAUAUUUUAUUAUUUACUAUAUUUGCAAGUUUUCUAUAUUUUUAGAUGUUAAAGAAAAUAAUCCGAGCGAUGUAUAGGGAAGUAAGCAAUUAUUCGUUGGGAGUUGGGUUUGCACACCUUAGAAAUUGCAUGGCAUGGUUGAAUAGGCUUACGUUAGGGAAUAUAAUAUUUUAUAUAGUUGUUGAGGUUUAGAUCAAUUUAAAUUUGUACUUAGCUAAUAGGUGAUUAGUUAUCUGAGAAAUGUUAAAACUGUGGACUCAUGGACAUGUUACUGCAACAUUAACAGUUGUGUUUGAGUUUUUUCUUGAACAUGUAUUAAAUUCUUGGUCUUUUAUUGUAAGCAUAACUGAGUAUAAUUUAAUACUAUCUCUAUCUUGAUAUAUAUUUUAUUAACAACUAUAAACGUUCUUAUAUAGUCUUAAUUAAUUAGUUUACAAAAAUCAAACGUGCAUUGAAUUUGCUGUCUGUUUCAAACUCAAACAAAGCGAUCAACUAUUUUAGAUUUUCCAGAUCUUGUGUUUCUAAUACUCUAAUGUGUUUGUGUGUCUUUUUAAUGUAAUUUGUCAUGUUUUAACUAAUUUCUAAUCAAUUGUUCAAUUUUUUUUGGGUUUCAAGUGAAAAACAUUACAAGAUGAGCGAAUAAA
This is a non-coding RNA of Arachis ipaensis, 1553 nucleotides long. NCBI's taxonomy places the organism in Eukaryota, Viridiplantae, Streptophyta, Magnoliopsida, Fabales, Fabaceae. The record is from RefSeq and is a predicted model, not a curated record.